Molecule: non-coding RNA, 4113 nt
Organism: Camellia sinensis
Lineage: Eukaryota; Viridiplantae; Streptophyta; Magnoliopsida; Ericales; Theaceae
Source: RefSeq, a predicted model, not a curated record
GCUAAAAUAUAACAUCAGACACCAACUUUCUCACUAACCUAUCCACGGCAGAUGCUCUUAUAACCAAGUUCCUAGUCAUCAUCGUCUGCCUUCCUAUGUAAGCACACAGACAGAGCAAACAAAAAUGGAUCAAUUACUACCAGUCGAAAUUCUCAUCGACAUACUCUCAAGCCUCCCCAUCAAAUCUCUGAUUCAAUGCAGAAACUCACGGGAUAAAGGCUGAGGAUUUGAUUGGAAGUCUUAUAAGCUGGCCAUAUCCACAAAUUUGAUGAACUAGGAAGGAAAACCGGCUUCCUUUAAUAAGAAGGUAUUAUGGUCCCUAUUUGCGAGGAGCUAGAGGUGUUUCUCAUGAAGAAGCUGCAGAUUCAGCCCUGUUUGACAAGCUAGAGGUUGUCUUCUUGAGAGAAAGCCAACAUGUUGGUAGUAAGUUGAUAAUAUCCUUUCCAAUCUUUUUGCUUUCUAAUCAUCUUUAGAGUAAGACUUUUAAUUGCUUAAAUGAUGCAGAAGUGACUGCAUUUCCAAGUUGUUUUUGCUUUAUUUUUCUUUACUUUUUGUUUUCAUUCUCUCAAGUGAAGUUGAUGUAAGUUGCUUUUUGAAACAAUUAUCAAAUAAAUUAAUAUGUUUUGGUAAGAAGAGAAUUGUUAAGGACUGCAGCUUCACGCCUGUUGGAAUCAGACUGCUCGUUGUCAUUGAGAAAGCCUCAUCCGAAAUUGCAAUUUAGUUUCAUUUGUUACUUCAACAGAUCCAUUCACUGAUGCUGCAAGUUAUACAUUGAUUGAUUGAGAGAGAGAAAAAAAAAAAAAAUUAAUAAAAAAAAAAAAAAAAAAAAAAAAAAAAAGGAAGAAGAGGAAGAAGUGAACUGAGCUGAUAUGUAUAUGAUUUGGUUCCACGUCUAAAACUUGAAAUCAAAGUAAUGUAUAAUAACUGACUUAUUUUUUUUUUCAUCUUUCUAAUAAUUCAUAUAAAAAAAGGAAUUUCAAUGGAAAAGGGGCACUAAAGGCUAUAAUGAAAUACUAUCAUCUCCUCUUCACUUAUUUGUAACUGCUCAUCAUUCAAUACAAAACAUAGACCUUCAAUAGAAUCAACACAAGUAUAUAUCAGCGGGGAAAAGUUGUCAAAUCUUAUGACCUUUGAAACAAAGCACAGCAUAAAAAUCCUAAUGAAUAAUUCUAUUCCUAUAGUGCCAUGAUCACACUACGUUUUCAGGCCACUGAAAUGUUUUGUUCACUUACAACCUAAUAGCAUAACAGUUAUGCCUUGUAAAAAUAUUAGUAUGGUGGCAUAAAAUGUAAAAGAAAGUAUUUCUCAACCUUCAGCCUACACAUCACAACCAUUACCUAAAUUUAGGUUUGAAUGCACUGUAAGUUUAAAAUCUUCAUCCCUAGAUCAAAUGUAACGGCGAUUUUGAAGCAGUUGGCCUCUUGCACUGCAAGAUGAAGACUUCAUAAGCUGAAGAGCUCCAGUUCUUUAUAGUUAUACUUGUGGCAUUCUUCAUUUCACUUUUAUUGGCAAAUGGCAAUAGGAAUCAGAAGUUCAAGUUCAUAUUGGAGGUGUGAAAGUUUCAUGCCAUAGUAAAUUUUGAUACAAUGAUCAGAACUGUUGUAAAUCUAAGAUUCGAAUCUUUUUGACAAGAUUUGGAAAACAUUGACCUUUACGUUGCUUCUUGGUCAUCAAAUUUGCAGGAAAUGAGCUUAUUGUUUCCAAAAUGGAAUCAAAAACUCAAUUUAAAUGAAAGAUGCUUACUGGGGGAAGGGAAAUAUUGAUAACCUUGUUGAGUUUCAACAGCUUAAAUGAACUAGAAAGCUGCAGGGGAGUUAUUAAUUAUUUGGAAUCACAUAGAAGAUGAUCUCAUGAAUAAUGUGCCACAAAGUAGUCUUGCUUAAACUAUUUUUAUCUUGCCUUUUCGUGUUUUUGAUUGGAGCAGUGGUGGAUACGGUUUUAUCCAUUCAAAUCCUUAAGAUUAAAUGGAAGACAGAAAUUCUUAGAUUCAAUCCUGAUCAGUUGUAGGCAUAUGUCCUUGUUUCCAUGUGGUCAUUAUCUGGUUUGAAUUUGAUUCCUCCAUCAACAGAAGAUAAGCUAAUGUGGCAAGCAAUAGCCAAAUAUUUCAACAAGAAAGAGAGUGGGCGCAGGAAUGAUCAUCAACCUUUGAACAAACAUUGGGCAAAUAAUUGAAAACAGGGAAAAGUUAACAUACAGCUUUAGUAUUUAUCAAGACUUCUGAUAUAUUGGUGUGUCAAUUCCUUGAGUGGACAUUUAUUAGGGUCAAUUCUUCAAUUAGUGGAGCUAUUAGGUCAAACACCAAUCUCGACUUUGACUGGGCUUAAAACCGUAAAUUCAAAAGCCUUCACUCUUAAGGUAAUCUGUCUUCAAGAGUGAAGAGUGGUGAAUACUGAAAGACUUUCAUUCAAUCCCUUUCUCCAUCCACUCAAUAUUAGAUUUGGACUCAUUUGAAGAGUUGAAAGUGCUUCCAGCAAGGAAAUCAUGUUUCAGCUUGUAUGAAAAGAUUGUGAAGGGAAUCAGAGUUUAGCACUUAAACAAUCUCCUUUAUUAAGAAAGAGAUAAUGAUAGGACUUCCAUAAAGCUAUGCAGAAUCAAUUGACAAGAGGUCAAUAAUUAUGUGAAUUGCUCAACAAUCCCAAUCAGCUUAUCUUACGGUGGAAGAACAGAUAAUGACUAUUUAUACCGGAACUAGUAAAAUUGGAACGUACACAAUUCAUUGAAUUAGAAGCCUUUGCACAAUUCACUUCCAAUCUUAAUAAAGCUAUGCAGAAUCAAUUGACAAGAGGUCAACAAUUAUGUGAAUUGCUCAACAAUCCCAAUCAGCUCAUCUUACGAUGGAAGAACAGAUAAUGACUAUUUAUACCGGAACAAAUGGUUAUCUUGAUUCACUAGAAGUUGGACAGAUAAGUAAUUUUCUUGUUGAGUUACAUACUUAUAUUGUCAUCCAUCAUGUGCCCUUCCUCACCCACCCAACCUCACCCCUAUCAGUUCAGUCAAGUCUAAGUCAUGACUCACUUUUCAACUUCCAUGAUUUCACGAGGUCACUGUCCAGGACCAGUGUGACUGUGCAACGUAGAAAGGCAUUCUUGGUGUUCUCUCUCUACGGCAGGGAUUAGGCUUGUGUGGCUUGUAUUUUGAUGCUCUGCCCACACAAUUGUUGUCAAGGUGCCCUGCAGAUUGUCAACGGUCACAUCCACAGCUCAAUUCACUUGAGGAAAAAGAAGAUGCCCACCUGGAGGGGUGCUAAUUGGCUCACAGCUCAUGAUAAAUUAUUUCAAAACUUUGGACCAAUGACUUCUGAAUCUCUAGCGAAGAACACACGACCAUAAGAGUGAUGAUGAGUUCCUACAUCAAGAUAGCGUAGCGCAUGCUAUCGUUAACCAUGAGAUGGUUCAUCUCCGAUAUGCGAGCCAACUCACUCGACACCCACACUCCAUCAGCACCAUUGACGUGAGGAUGAGAAAGGCAGGAGAAGAGCGAGAGUGGAGCCCGAACAGCGCUGCAAAUGACCGAAAACACACUCCAACCUGACCGUCUUCUAUCCAUCCCGCGUCCAAACAUUGGCAAUUCAGCUCCAUUCCCAUCACCAAACAUGGUCUCGUCAGCCACCCGGGGACUCUUCCUUAUGUUCUGGACGUUUCGCUUCAUCAACUCCAGCAUACGACGCAUAUCUAUCUCUGGAAGAGGAAGAUGAGAGUGUGCUUGCAGCUUGCACUUGGGUUAGUAUUUUGAAGAGAUGGGUUGGGAGGCUUAGCUUGAUAUAUGGGUUGUUGUGAUAAAUGGGGAUGUUUGUUGUUGAUGGUGUUGAUAGUGCUAGUGCUUAUCGCAAAGGUUUAUGGGUGGUGCUUUUUCUCAGGACUUUCACUUGUGCAUUUUUUUUAAAAAAAAAAUUUGAUUUAAAUUUUUUUUUUCUUCUAUAUUUGUGGGGUCUUUCAAAGGCCAACUUGCCGACAAAGCUGCCUAAUUUUGCACAAAGAGCUUUGUGUAUUGGAAUAUUUGAGCCAUCUCUUUCACUAGAUUUAGCAAAAUACUCGAGAAAUUUAUGGUACUAGUGUAACCCAUCUGAGUACAAAUUAAUGGAAGACAAUACGGUUUUGUGUGGAUUCAACAAUA